GACAUGGAGGUUUUAUUCUAUCUCAGGACCCUGUCUGGAGAGUGCAUAUAAACUUGGACAUUUCUUCCUCUGAUGCCCACUGUCCGUGAGGAAGGGAGAUGUCUCUGGGGCUGUGAAGAUGCUUGUGAUGAUGUCACUCACGGAUGCUCCUGUUGGGUGACAUCUCUAAACACCGAGUUCUUCUUGUUCCACUUGGUGUGUAGGUGUUAUUAGUGACACUCUUCUGAGUUACAGCAAA
Molecule: long non-coding RNA, 238 nt
Filed under: Peromyscus maniculatus bairdii (prairie deer mouse)
Lineage: Eukaryota; Metazoa; Chordata; Mammalia; Rodentia; Cricetidae
Description: SMAD5 antisense RNA 1 conserved region 1 (ENSPEMG00000005875.2)
Rfam family: SMAD5 antisense RNA 1 conserved region 1
Source: RNAcentral